CAUAGUGGAUUCUUAGGGCUCGACGUCUGCACCAGCUCCGAUUAUGUCAAACAACCAUGGCGUUUCUGAAAGGAUCUGUGAGUCAGCUCUUCGUAUUGGAUCUAUGUGUCGUUCACCAUUCCCGUUGUUACGCUUGCACCUGAUCUCCUCUGAUCCCUUUCGCAAUGAAGUCCUUCAUCACCAUUAACAGUGUUCUUUAAUCCUUGGACCCACAUCAACCACGAUUGAUCAUUCAAUGCGUCUUUAUCUCCUUCACAGUCUGUGGAACUCCGCCUUUAAAAAAGCCAAUCUUCUUCCCACGAAUGUCAUCCUCACUGUUCCUUUCAAGAAAAACUUCAUUUCAGUAAUGUGGCAUCCAAAGGUGUGCUUAAUAUUCUUGAGUUUCUCACUGAUGAUUUCUCUGUCAUGGAUGUGAUCGGAAUCUCUGGCAAAGUCCUUUUAUAUGCUAUUGGUUCUUCUCAGACAAAAACAUGCAGCUCUGAAUUGGACUGUGAGGCAUGGAAAUCAGUUGUUUGUGAGGUAGUAAUCAGAGAGGAGAACGUGUUGAAAACAAGUAACGCUGUUUUGCUGUCCGUUUGCUUCGGUUCCGAGAAGCUAUAAAUAUUUGGCGCGGCGGUGAGCUAAUUGAAAUCGACAUGCUCCUCCUGGACGCCAAGGUAAUUCUGGCUUGAUUACAUUGUUUUUCUGUUUUGUUAAUCACGCCUCGCGUUGUUCAUGUAUAGAUUAUGAAACUUUCAAAUCUAAUAGUUCUUCACCGGAGAUCAAUUUAUACAUGUCUCCGUCAUAAAAAUUAUUCCCCAGGAGUUUUUGUUAUCUUAAUAUAAUCAUUGUUGUAACAGGAUUCCCCAGAAAUUUUCGUUAAGAGCUACUUUUACAAGUACUGAUCGUUUAUAUUUUAUUACAUCAUUAUACAUCCUGUAAAAUUAUAUAUGGAACAUACUCUCACAUGAAACUCUUGCAGGAUACUCUCUAUCAUUGCAGGUGGUUGGUCACAAAUAACACUGAAACUACAUCAGCAGAUUCAUUGCUGAGAGGCUAUGUCAAGGUUGAGUUGCUGACAAUAGCUGAGCUAGCAAAAUUAUCAUCACAACCGAGCCUCGGGUUCACUUGCGACCUUUAAUAGUUUGUCUCCACCAUCAUUCUAAGCUCUGUUUAUGAUUGCAACAUUUAUUAUUGUAGAAAAUAUAACUUAGUUGCACUGGGAAAGUCACCUGUAUCAAGGCAAAAAAUGUAUGGUGCUACAUAUCUUGCUCCAAGUGUACAAGGAAACUUCAGAGGAGUGCCUCAUCGUUUGCAUAUAUAUUCUGCAAUCAGACUAAUGUCGUUAGUGUUUUCAGGUAUUGUGUGGAGAUCAUUGUUGUUGACGACCUGGACGAAGCUGUUUCGUUAAGUUUCUAUAGUGAAAUAACAAAGCUCACCAGUAUAUGGGCUGCUGAUGCUGUUCAUCUGCUGGAUUAUGAUCACUGAGGUUUACGAUAGGAUAGGGAAGGACACAAUACUCAUUUAGGUUUAUGAGAGGAUAACGGAGGACAUGUAUUUUGAUUUAAGAAAACUCUACGAAACUCUAUCCAAAAUGGUCGUUGAGAUUCCUCAACUGCAUCAAUACUCAUCUGAAGUUUGCUGAAGAGGAAAUGAAGUAGAACAAUUGUUUUCUUCUUCUUUGAGAUUUCUUUUUUGCGUUGAAUCUCUAAUAAACAACAGAAAUGAUUUUAUUCAACAAUAAACUGUUUAACAUCA
Molecule: RNA transcript, 1737 nt
Organism: Raphanus sativus (radish)
Lineage: Eukaryota; Viridiplantae; Streptophyta; Magnoliopsida; Brassicales; Brassicaceae
Exons: 4
Source: RefSeq, a predicted model, not a curated record